AACGAACGCUGGCGGCAUGCCUAAAACAUGCAAGUCGAACGAGCCGUAUACGGUGAGUGGCUCACGGGAGAGUACCACGUUGGAGUAUACAUUUCGUUAAGGAAUCAAGUAGAGAAAUUUACGCUCAUACCUUAUAAAGACUACGGGCCAAAGAUUUAUCGCCGAAGGAUUAGCCCGCGUUGGAUUAGGUAGUUGGUGAGGGAAUGGCUCACCAAGGCUACGCUCUAUAGCUGGUCUUAGAGGAUGAUCAGCCACACUGGGACUGAGACACGGCCCAGACUCCUACGGGAGGCAGCAGUUAGGAAUAUUGCGCAAUGGGGGAAACCCUGACGCAGCCAUGCCGCGUGAGUGAAGAAGUCCUUAGGUUUGUAAAGCUCUUUCAGAUGGAAAGAUAAUGACGGUACCUUAAGAAGAAGCUCCGGCUAAAUUCGUGCCAGCAGCCGCCGUAA
Molecule: ribosomal RNA, 449 nt
Filed under: uncultured bacterium
Lineage: Bacteria
Description: partial 16S ribosomal RNA
Rfam family: Bacterial small subunit ribosomal RNA
Source: RNAcentral